This is a microRNA precursor of Sorghum bicolor (sorghum), 109 nucleotides long. It matches the Rfam family "MIR5565 microRNA precursor family". Lineage: Eukaryota; Viridiplantae; Streptophyta; Magnoliopsida; Poales; Poaceae. The record is from Rfam.
GUAGUUGGAUUCACAUCAAUCCAUAUGUGUUGAGGUGGAUUAGAGUGGAAUUUAAUUCAAGUUUCAUUCCAAUCCAUCUCAAUACAUGUGGAUUGAUGUGAAUCCGACU